AGAAUUCAUGCCAGGCUUAAAUACACGAUUGGGAAUCCAUUUAUUACAUUACUAUUACAUUACAAAGGUCGACUGCAGGAAUAACUAAGACAAAGGGAUUCCUAAUCAAACAUCAUGUAAAUGGGGGUGCACAUCUGUACACUAAAUAAAAUUUAUCAGCUAAAUGAAACAAGGGAAAGAUAUUUUAAUCAUUAAAUACUUGCAUUCCAAAGUCACAGCUUCAUAUUACAUCUGUAUACCUGGAAAAUGGAAAGAAAGUGAGGAUGGAGGUUCAGCAAAUAUGCAGCACAAUAAUAGCAACACAACCACUCCAAAUAAUCCCAGAUCCCAUGCAAUUGAAGAUAAAUGACAAGAUAAUUUUUAACUCGAAGAAAUGAGGUAAAAGGAGGCCAAAAAAUGACUUCAAAUCAUCAUAUAACCAAACUCAAAUCAAAGAGUACCAAAUAGCUCGAAAGUUUUCAGAAUGGGAAGCUCUUUAGAAAGUUAAUGAUAGAUCCAAUAUAAUAGUAAAAUUUUCAGCAGUAUGUAUAUAUUUU
RNAcentral lists this long non-coding RNA (536 nucleotides) under Nicotiana benthamiana. RNAcentral describes it as "long non-coding RNA (NBEN_LNC006943)". Lineage: Eukaryota; Viridiplantae; Streptophyta; Magnoliopsida; Solanales; Solanaceae. The record is from RNAcentral.